Molecule: long non-coding RNA, 1111 nt
Organism: Alexandromys fortis (reed vole)
Lineage: Eukaryota; Metazoa; Chordata; Mammalia; Rodentia; Cricetidae
Exons: 7
Source: RefSeq, a predicted model, not a curated record
AUGCUCACGCCUCGGUGUGAAGGAGCUCUCGCCUGUGUUUCUCGCUAUCCCCAUCUAAAUGCUGGAGCGAGGAGUUAAAUUAUUCCAGAAGGCCCGCCAGGGUCUGAUUUGCCACUGUCUGCUUCCUCGUUGCCUUUGAAUGGGACCCUUGAUCCAAGGCUUUCAGAGACCAGCCGGUGCUGAUGGGGGCCUGUGACUUGGCGGUGGCGCCAGCUUGCUCCUUCUCUGUCUCGGGCAUGGUUUUCUGUCCUGCUGGGGAGGGCGAGAGCGCUGGGCAGAGGUGGCACCUGACCCGCUAGAACUCCGAUGUCACUGCUGUGGCUGUUACUCCCCUCGGCAAGAGUCAAGGCGCACGCAGGACGUGAAUCCCACCUCGGACUUGCCUCAUCUUUCUGAGACUAUGGCUCUUCAGGAGAUCUGCACUAUUGCUGAACAGCGGAGACUCACAGUAGUUCUUAGGUGCAAAGAGAUUGAUGGCUACAUGUCUCCUUUUGGAUGCCACCAGAUCAUUCCAGCCACCUGCCAUUGUGUUGUCUCCAGACAAGGGCAGACAAUCACAGAAGCUUUGAGGUCCUGAGGCUCCCUGGAGAGAAGAAUAGCAUCCCUGGCAAAGAGUCCUUCUUUGCCACCUGGAUGUCCCCGCUUCCUUCAGAAGAAUAUGGGUAGGAAGAACUAGCAGAUCUCCAAAAGCGCUGUGAACCAAGGAAGUGGAAUAACAAAGGGCCCGAAGACUGCACAGCCCCAGCUGGUAGGCCCUGGAGAGAGGCUGGAGUCCUCAGGCAGACAGAAGGAAGACAUCUGAGAGGCGACCAGGAGGUGCCUGUGACUGCGGAGUACAGGAUAUGAAUCAGAGAGAAAGAAGUGAACUCUUGUCACAGAAGAAAGGGAGCGAUUGGCAGAAGACUUUUCUCUGGUGUGGGUGGCUGAUUUGAAGACCCUGGCAACAUGGAGGUUGCUUUUCAAUAUUCAUAAGAAGUUGGCUUUCCAGGUAAUGGCAUUUUUCUCUACUUACCUGCAAACCUUCCAUUUCCUCAAAUACUGCAACUGUUAGGGCUUUGAAAACUUAUUUUUUUUCAAGUGUCACUAAAUUUUUAAUUUUACAACCAAUCAA